Molecule: transfer RNA, 29 nt
Filed under: Cyclopsitta diophthalma macleayana
Lineage: Eukaryota; Metazoa; Chordata; Aves; Psittaciformes; Psittacidae
Description: partial tRNA-Gln
Source: RNAcentral
UAGGAAAUAAUAUAGAGGAAGUAUGGAGG